UACGUAGGGUGCAAGCGUUAAUCGGAAUUACUGGGCGUAAAGCGUGCGCAGGCGGCUUUGCAAGACAGAUGUGAAAUCCCCGGGCUCAACCUGGGAACUGCAUUUGUGACUGCAUGGCUAGAGUGCGGCAGAGGGGGAUGGAAUUCCGCGUGUAGCAGUGAAAUGCGUAGAUAUGCGGAGGAACACCGAUGGCGAAGGCAAUCCCCUGGGCCUGCACUGACGCUCAUGCGCGAAAGCGUGGGGAGCAAACAGG
RNAcentral lists this ribosomal RNA (253 nucleotides) under uncultured bacterium. Its description in RNAcentral is "partial 16S ribosomal RNA". It matches the Rfam family "Bacterial small subunit ribosomal RNA", at positions 524 to 776 of the family's 1533-position model. The record is from RNAcentral.